This 253-nucleotide ribosomal RNA is filed under the name uncultured bacterium. Its description in RNAcentral is "partial 16S ribosomal RNA". It matches the Rfam family "Bacterial small subunit ribosomal RNA", at positions 524 to 776 of the family's 1533-position model. The record is from RNAcentral.
UACGGAGGGUGCAAGCGUUAUCCGGAUUCACUGGGUUUAAAGGGUGCGUAGGCGGAUAGGUAAGUCCGUGGUGAAAUCCUGCAGCUUAACUGCAGAACUGCCAUGGAUACUAUCUAUCUUGAAUGUCGUGGAGGUUAGCGGAAUAUGUCAUGUAGCGGUGAAAUGCUUAGAUAUGACACAGAACACCCAUUGCGAAGGCAGCUAACUACGCGAUAAUUGACGCUGAUGCACGAAAGCGUGGGGAUCAAACAGG